UACGUAGGGUGCAAGCGUUGUCCGGAAUUAUUGGGCGUAAAGAGCUCGUAGGCGGUGUGUCGCGUCGGCCGUGAAAACCUGCAGCUUAACUGUGGGCUUGCGGUCGAUACGGGCAUCACUGGAGUUCGGCAGGGGAGACUGGAAUUCCUGGUGUAGCGGUGAAAUGCGCAGAUAUCAGGAGGAACACCGGUGGCGAAGGCGGGUCUCUGGGCAUGUCCUGACGCUGAGGAGCGAAAGUGUGGGGAGCGAACAGG
This 254-nucleotide ribosomal RNA is filed under the name uncultured bacterium. RNAcentral's name for it is "partial 16S ribosomal RNA". It matches the Rfam family "Bacterial small subunit ribosomal RNA", at positions 524 to 776 of the family's 1533-position model. The record is from RNAcentral.